This is an RNA transcript of Anopheles coluzzii, 4005 nucleotides long. It is a transcript of the gene named semaphorin-1A, with no coding region annotated. The transcript has 23 exons. Lineage: Eukaryota; Metazoa; Arthropoda; Insecta; Diptera; Culicidae. The record is from RefSeq and is a predicted model, not a curated record.
CCGUGUGUGUGACCCGUGUAGAUAAAGGGAAAUUGCGCUCUGUCUGCCUGCCUGUCUGUGUGUGUGUGAGAAGUAGAAAGGAUAAAAAGGAACCGAAACUAGGUACAGUUGUGUUGCAGUUGUACCGAACGAAAGUGCAAUUACGUCGUUAUGCAAAUGUGCACACACACACAACACUUCGACACAAAUACGCACACAAUGAUGAAAACAAAUCUGUACAGCGGGGUGAGCAAGCCAGUUUUUUUUGUUCUCCUGUUUGAUUUCUUCGCCAAUCAACGUGACAGAAGAUUGCAGAUAUCCUUGCAGCGUGUGUGAGAGUGGUCGAGGAGAAGCAGCAGCGAAGGGAGGGGAGGGGGUGUCGGCGAACUGUCAAAAUCGAUACAAAAAAAUAUCGAUCAAAAUCAAAAACACGCGCAGCAUCCGAAAAAGUUGCGAAAAGCCGUAUUACGCCAACGAUACCGUUCGUUUGUGCUUGCGUGUGUGUGUGUGUGGUGUGUGUGUAUGCGGUAUUUUUUUGUUCAGUUCCUUUCUCCAUAAUCGGUGCAAUUCUGAUUUCGAAUUCGAUUAUUCUCUUCGGUGCGCCGCGCAAAGUGCGUAACGAACGCGGUGGAGAUUUAAAUCCUGGGGGCUGCCGGGAAAAAGCGGCCGUAAAUAGAGAGGCAAAAAAUUGCUCCUCUUUGGGUAGUGGGCAUUAAGAGCCGGACACGUGCGCUGGCAAUCGGCAAGCGGUAGUCCAGUGCCGUGAGAGUGCCGAGUGUAUGUAAGCGCGUGCGCCGUGCCUGCUGUUGAUCGUGAAAUUUAGCCUUUUCCCGCUCGUGCACUGCUGUGAAGCAAAGGUCGAAAAGGGAGGGUGGCUUCUGGGGGGCUAGUGAGCUAAAGGCUAAGGGCAGUGGAAGCAAAACGGGCAGGAAGAUUUGCAAGCGCUUGCAAUGUUGCCACGGCCUGAAGCGCUCAAGUGUUCCGGAGCCGCAUGGAUCGAUCAAGCCACCGCUGGCCUGCUGCUGCACCGUCACCACGGCGAGUCUUGGUGAGCGGGCGUGACGACGCCAGUCCCUUAGAGCGUGCUAAAACUCCGACCGUCGUGUCCUGUGUGUAUAGUGGAUGAAAAUUAAGCAAAAAGAAGAAGAAGAAAAAGAAAAUAAGCCGCAAUAAUAUUUCCUUUUCUUUCGGUGGGAGUUUGUUUCUGCGUGGCAAAAUUAAAAAAAUAAGAAAUCGAGUGUUGUGUGCGAAGCGCGCAGUGUCGAUUGCGUGUGCAUUAUUGGUGCAAUUUGUGGGCAAGAAAUUGUGUGUGCGUGUGUUUGGUUGAAAUUGUUCGAGUUAGUGUUUGCGUGUGUGUGUGUGUAUUGGGCAAGUGGCAAAAAGUGUGUUUGUGAUAAAUACGAAUAGGAGCAACAGCAUCAGCAGCAGCAGCAAGAUGUCAGCCGAAUCGAUACAAUCAUCAGCGGCCCAUGGGCGGCAGGGGCGUCGGUCGGUUCCAGUUGCCCGCGGAGGCCCGCUGCUGGUCGGCUACCUCCUGGCGACGGUGUUCGUCGUCGGUACCCUAUGUGCCUGGCAGGAGAACGUUCGACCGAAGCUCUACGUCACGCUAGCCGACAAGGAGUACCUCCGGUUCCAGGGGAACGAAUCGACGAACGACUUCUUCAAGCUGGUGCUGCGCGACCCGAACAGCAACAAUCUGCUCGUCGGUGCACGCAACAUCGUCUACAAUCUCAGCAUCUACGACCUGGCGGAAACGACGCGUCUUUCCUGGUACUCCUCGGACGACGACAUCAAGAUGUGUAUCGUGAAGGGCAAGGAUGAGGAUCUGUGCCAAAAUUAUAUCCGGGUGUUGGCCAUUCCGGCGCAAGGAUCGCUACUCAGCUGUGGGACGAACGCAUUCCGGCCGCUCUGCCGGACGUACUCCAUCAACGGCAACAACUACACGGUGGAGACGGAAAAGCCCGGACAGGCGAUGUGUCCGUACGAUCCCACCCACAACUCGACGGCUGUGUUUGUAGAUAACGAGUUGUACUCGGGCACGGUUGCCGAUUUCAGUGGGCUCGACCCGAUCAUCUAUCGCGAACAUCUGCAAACGGAACAGUACGACAGUCUCAGCUUGAAUGCGCCCAACUUUGUCGGAUCCUUCACGCAGGGUGACUUUGUGUACUUCUUCUUCCGCGAGACGGCCGUCGAAUUCAUCAACUGUGGCAAGGCCAUCUUCAGCCGUGUGGCUCGUGUGUGCAAGUGGGACAAGGGUGGCCCGAAUCGGUUGAAGAACCGCUGGACGUCCUACCUAAAGUCGCGGCUCAACUGCUCCAUGCCGGGCGAUUUUCCUUUCUACUUUGAUGAAAUACAAUCUACCAGCAACCUCGUCGAAGGCAGAUAUGGGCAUGCCAACUCUAAGCUGAUCUACGGCGUUUUCUCAACGGCACCGAACGCUAUUGCUGGCUCAGCAAUAUGCGCAUUUUCGCUACAGGAAAUUUCCGACACGUUCGAGGGCAACUUCAAGGAGCAGAGUGGACUGAACUCGAACUGGCUGCCCGUAAACCCGCUAAAUGUUCCCGAUCCGCGGCCCGGCUCCUGCCACAACGAUUCGCGCACACUGCCCGAUCUGACGCUCAACUUCAAAAAGACCCAUUCGCUGAUGGACGAAACCGUGCCCGCAUUUUUCGGCUCCCCCAUCCUGACGCGUGUCAGCACGAUGUAUCGAUUUACUGCGAUUGCGGUGGAUCCACAAAUCAAGACUCCCGGCGGCAAGACCUACGACGUUAUCUUCGUUGGUACAGAUCAUGGGAAAAUCCUCAAAACGGUUAACGCCGAAUCGGCCGACUCGAACAAGAAGGUAACGUCGGUGGUGAUCGAGGAAAUCGAUGCACUUCAAACGAACGAACCGAUCCGGACGCUGGAAAUCGUUCGCACAACGCAGUACGACACACCGAAGGACGGCAGUUAUGAUGAUGGGAAAUUAAUUAUAGUCACCGAUACGACCGUGCUGGCGAUCAAAUUGCACCGCUGCAGUAGUGAGAAGAUAACAAGCUGCAGUGAGUGUGUAGCGCUGCAGGAUCCGUACUGUGCGUGGGACAAGAUUGUGGGCAAGUGCCGGUCGCACGGUGCCCCCCGGUGGUCGGAAGAGAACGUGUUCUACCAGAGCGUCGCCACCGGCGAUCAUGCGGCCUGCCCGUCGGGCAAGAUGGCAAAGGACGCGAACGUGGUCGAGCGGCAAGGAUACCGAGACCUCGAGUACGAUCCGCAACGUCCGUUCCGAGAUCAGCCGGCCGAUAAGAUUCAGUUCAACUCGGAAAACUACAACGACAAGGGUCCGCAGAUUACGCCCGACCUGAUAAACGCCCAGUACACGGUCGAGACGCUCGUGAUGGCCGUCCUGGCGGGGGCCAUCUUUGCCCUGCUGGUCGGUUUCAUUACCGGCUACUUCUGUGGCCGCCGGUGCCACAAGGACGAGGACGACAAUCUGCCCUAUCCGGACACUGAGUACGAAUACUUCGAACAGCGCCAGAAUGUUAACCGGAUACAAGCCGAACCGAAGCUACUUCCACAGGUCGAAGAGGUGACAUACGCCGAGCCUGUACUAUUACCUCAGCCGUCUAGUCAGAAUAAGAUGCAACAUUCGCCAAAAAAUACGCUAAGAAAACCGAUGGGCCAUCACCAUGGCGUCAACUCGGAAACGUUGUUCCAGUUCCAGCCGGACAACUACAACAAUGCACGCGACAAUUACCGAGGCCGUGACAACUUCGGUACACUGCGAUCGCACCAGGGUGAUAAUUAUCGUCGCGGUGACGGAUUUUCAACGACCAGAAGUGUCAAAAAAGUAUAUCUUUGAGACGGAAACGGGGCGGCUGAGACCAGCCAGGGACUGAUCAAUCAAAAUAUGCAUUUCUACAUAGGUCCUUAACUCAAACACUCGUAAUAGAAGUCUCGGCCGUAUGAAAAGGCAGCCGCCCCGGCAUGGUAUGGUAACACAACAUCGUUCCGACAGUCCACACCAUUCCAGCUCCGGAUCUUCCCCCG